GGUCUGUGGUGACUUCCAAAGGCCUUGGAAGGAGGACAGAAAAUAGGACAAAGAAAGGGCUUUUCCCAGCUAAUAACCUCUUUCAUGCAGACUUCUGAGAUACAGCAGGGGCUUGGAUGAACAUUCCCACCCACCGCUUCCUGUCUCUCAGAGGCCUGGUCAUGCUGCAUGUCUUUGCAUUUAUUGAGAGAUUCUGGGGACUCCUUGAAGAAGAACAAGACCUUCCAGAAACUCUAUCUGUUUUAGCCUGGCAAACACAGCAAAGGAAUUUUCAGUCACUAUAAACAACCUCUUCUGUGGACCCCACCUGUCGUGAGCGCACACAACGCUAGGAAUGUGACUUGGGACAUUCUCAAGCAAGCUGUGGGGGACAUCUGUUGUUGUGUUGCCCACUUCCUGCUGCCCGAUUUAGCUCUGCAGGAAUUACCCACCCUGCUUUCAGCCAUGUGUUUUGCCUAAUGCUGACUGACCUCUGUGUUGGAUCUGGCUGUGAGUCACAGGGGCAAGGCCCAAGUCACCUGGGGGAAGUCCCUGUGUCUGGCCACAGUGGCUAGUUAGGGAAUGGCAGCAGGGCAUGAGCCAAAGCCUGCCCAGAAGCCCCCUGGGGUUUUCUUUGGUUCAUGUAAUGAUGGAGCUGUUGGUCCCUCUAGAUUUGAACGUGAGGAGUCAUAGGAUCUGGGCUGACUGAGAAGAGAGGUCAGAUCUGAGAAGAAGGCCCAUGGGUGACAGACCACAGCCCUGAGUCGAGAUAGAAGCAGGACUCUGAUGCUUUCUCUGACCUGCAGCUACGGCCG
This 794-nucleotide long non-coding RNA is filed under the name Cricetulus griseus (Chinese hamster). Its description in RNAcentral is "lncRNA (ENSCGRG00015038604.1)". Lineage: Eukaryota; Metazoa; Chordata; Mammalia; Rodentia; Cricetidae. The record is from RNAcentral.